Molecule: long non-coding RNA, 1020 nt
Filed under: Gadus morhua (Atlantic cod)
Lineage: Eukaryota; Metazoa; Chordata; Actinopteri; Gadiformes; Gadidae
Description: lncRNA (ENSGMOG00000033115.1)
Source: RNAcentral
CAGAAGGUGUCUGGUUAGGGAGGAGUGAGGCAAAACCAAUAAUAGAUAUAAAAGAUAAAGACACAAUGUCAAUCCUGGGCAUAAAGUUCAGUAGGAACGAUUGUUAUGGAGAAAACUGGAAUGAAAAAGAUAAAGAAAUUAAAGAAGAACUGGAUAAAUGGGAAAAUAAAUCAUGUAGCUAUAGGGCCAGGAUAUUAAUCAUAAAAACAUGUGUUGUGUAAAAGCUGCUGUUCUCGGCAACCAUUUUUCCUCCUAAGGACCAGACACUUAAAAAGAUAAAUAAAAUGCUUGUUGACUUCAUUUGGGGAACCACAAGGGAGGUUACAAAGAGAGAACUUUUAUAUAAAAACAAAAAGAACGGGGGGCUCGGAGCUGUGGACCUGGGGCUAAAAUUAAGAAUUGCAUUUUGUAAAAACAUUGCAUCUGGUUUUAAAAGAAAGGCUGUUUGGAUAGGUGAGGCCUUGAGCUGGACCAAAAAGCGGGGUCGCGCUAGAAGUUCACUGCCUUAUUUUAAAGUAAUGUAUGGUGAUAUUAUAGAGAAAUCUGUACAUCUGAAUAUUGAAUGGCCUGGAACGCCCAGUAAAAAUAUAUAUAUUAUUGUGUGUAAUGACUUGUAUGGUGACAUUUUCCCCUAUAAAUAUCUAGAUGAUACUGAAAAGCAGGUGUGUCUGAAAAACAUACGGAGCAAAACUAUAUCUGAAAAAAAGAGAGACGUAAUGUGGCUGGUCUCAGUCAGGAGACUAGCAGUUAGAGCAGUGGUGAAGUGGAGCUGUUUCGUUAAAACUGUUAAAUGUCCAAUUCAUAAUUGUGAUGAAGAUGAAUCAGUUGAGCACCUGCUUGUAGACUGCCGCAGAUCACAGUAUGUCUUAUACUAUGUCUGGGGGAAAAUGUCACAGAUUGGUUUUAACGUUAAUGUCACAUAUAAAGCUGCUAUGUAUGGAGUUUUCGAGGAACGCAUGUCUGCCAUGGAUCAGGCCUUUUAUUGGUCCGUGGUGUGCGUGCGCCGUCAUUAACAAGCUG